CUGCAUUUAUGCCAACACUUAAAACAAGGUUAAUUAAAUAACUUAUUUUCUCCUUCUUUGUUUUAAAUCUUAGCACAAAAGAAUUUUAUUAAUAAGCAAAAAAGUACACGGUUAACUAGAAAAACCUAAAAAACUGUUGCCAAUGGCCUGAUUGAGUGGUUUUAAGUAGGUAUAUUUGGCUGAAACGAAUUUAAAUUUGUAAGGAAUAAAUAUGUAUUUCAACUUUACCUACUGCUAUACCUUAUUCUUGCUUCAAAAAAUAAAAAAUAAGACAAAUUAAGCACGAAAUUUUAAUUUGUUAAAUACUAAAUGGUGUUAAUUAAUUAAUUAAGUAAAUACAAGUUGGUUUAUGGAAGCCAAUAUCUGAUCCCUUCACACUAACUAAAAUACUAAAUUCAGUGCACAAAUUUAGAUAUAGGCAGAUAAAUAAGAUGCAUGUUAUUAUGGCUUACCUUGAACAUCAAAACUUUUUUUUUUUUAAUCCAAUCCCUCUUGGGAUAUAAACUCAUUAACGAAGAAAGAGCAUUAGAAAAAAUAAAAAGCUAUGAUGUCGAUUUCCAUUUAGUGUACAAUUCUUUACUUUUGAAGACAGGACAUACAAAAUAAUUAGAUUGAAUGUGUGUGUGAUUAUGAGAAGCAUUGAAAAUUGCAUAUAUUGAUAAUUUCUUAAUCCUAUUUUUAUAAUAUUCAAAGCCUUGUAGCCUAAACUAGUAAGAGUCUAGCUAGAUCUCGUAUCAAUACUUCCAGCUGGUCGAUGAAAUAAGAUCCACAAAGAUGGGACACGGGAGAAGGGAUAAAGCUUGCUUACCUUUAAUAUCAAUACUUCCAUUCAAUCUAUUAUCAGACAAUGAUAAGUGUCUGAGUGAUGAAAGACCACAUAGAAAUGAAAAGAUGCUGUUGUUGAAGUGGUUAAUGGCUAAAGAAAGAAACUUUAAGUUGUUCAACCUUGAUAACCUAUCUAGACCUGCCAAAAAAUAAAAAAAUAAUAAUUUUAUUGUAUCACGUACAAAUUAAACAAAAGCCAAAAUGGAUUAGAUAAAUGUAAGAAAUUACGAGGAAGAACUAAAAUAAAGUAAAUUAAGGACCUUCAUUUUCAACACAAUGGGCUAUAUUGUUCUCAAUUAGAUGAAGAGACUCUAAUUGUUGAAAGGGAGUAAACAGAGAAGCAUUCAUAUGCCACUCUGCUCAUUCCCGAUUCCUAGUGGCUCCUAGAUCUAAUUUAAUCACUCUGCCAGUGGUGUUGUUGCACUCAACCCCUUCCCACUGACAACAAUCUGAAUAAUUCUCAUCAUCUCCCGUGUCUACCCAGUUUUGAAGACAUUGAUCAUCAUUGAAGAAAUGUUUGAAUUGGAGGAGAGCAAACCUCUAGACUUUAAUGAUCACUUUGGAUGAGUCCUUGAAUAUUUACCAACGAAUUUCUUUAUUGAUUGCAACACCUUGCUUCCAUAUAUCACUGCAAUUUCCCUUCUCCCCCAAAUAAAAGGUAUUCAACUUCCUUAAACCUCUGUAAUCUAUUUGAGAUACAAUUUUGGAUUAAAUUAUUUUGGGUAAGUGUCAUUGGGCAUUCCCUAAUCAAAUCAAUUAAACUGUCCUCCAAAUUAUUAAUAUUUGAACAUUUUGUAUACCUUUAGGAACCACUAGAUUGUCGAUUGCAUUGUCGCUUAUGUCCAGCUCCUCCAAGUUACUCAAGGAUUCCAGUCCUGUAUUUAUUCCAACACUUAAAACAAAGUUAAUUAAAUAGCUUAUUUUCUCCUUUUCUUAUGCUAAAUCUCAACGAAAAGAAUUUUAUUAAUAAGAAAAGAAUAUGGCUAAUCCGAAAAAUUUAAAGCAGCUCUCAAAGGGCUCGACUGAGUGGCUUUAAGCAAGUAUAUUUAGCUGACAACCAUGAAUUUAAAUUUGUAAGGAAUUAAAAUUUAUUUUAGCUUUACCUACUGCUAUAUCUUUUUCUUUUUUCUUAAAAAAAUUAAAAUAUAUUAAACACGAUAUUUUAAUUUGUUAAAUACUAAAUUUAGUUAAUUAAUUAAUUAACUAAAUACAAGUUAGUCUAUGGAAGCCAAUAUCUGAUCCCUUCACAUUAACCAAAAUACUAAAUUCAGCGCACAAAUUUAGAUACAGGCAGACAAAUAACAUGCAUGUUAUUAUGGCCUACCUUGGACAUCAAAACUUUUUUUUUUUUUUAAUCCAAUCCCUCUUAGGAUAUAAACUCGUUAACGAAAAAAGAGCAUUAGAAAAAAUAAAAAGCUAUGAUGUCGAUUUCCAUUUAGUGUACAAUUCUUUACUUUUGAAGACAGGACAUACAAAAUAAUUAGAUUGAAUGUGUGUGUGAUUAUGAGAAGCAUUGAAAAUUGCAUAUAUUGAUAAUUUCUUAAACCUAUUUUUAUAAUAUUUAAAUCCUUGAAGCUUAAACUAGCAAGAGUUUAGCCAAAUCUUAUAUCAAUACUUCCAGCCGGUCAAUGAAAUAAGAUCCCCAAAAGAUGGGACACGGGAGAAGGGAUGAAGCUUACUUACCUUCAAUAUCAAUACUUCCAUUCAAUUCAUUAAUACCCAUGUGGUUAAUGGCUAAAGAAAGAAACUUUAAGUUGUUCAACCUUGAUAACCUAUCUAGACCUGCCAAAAAAUAAAAAAAUAAUAAUUUUAUUGUAUCACGUACAAAUUAAACAAAAGCCAAAAGGGAUUAGAUAAAUGUAAGAAAAUACGAAGGAGAAUUAAAAUAGAGUAAAUUAAGGACCUUCAUUUUGAACACAACCGGCUAUAUUGUUCCCCAUUAGAUCAAGAGACUUUAAUUGUUGAAAGGGAGUAAACAGAGAGGCAUUCAUAUACCACUCUGCUGAUUCCCAUUUUCGAAAUGCUAGAUCUAAUCUAAUCACUCUGCCAGUGGUGUUGUUGCACUCAACCCCUUCCCACUGACAACAAUCUGAAUAAUUCUCAUCAUCUCCGGUGUCAACCCAGUUUUGAAGACGGUGAUCAUCAUUGAAGAAAUGUUUGAGUUGGAGGAGAGCAGACCUCUCUUGCUCCAAACACCCCUCACUCCACCACCCUUUUACUACUAAUAAUAUGAAAAUUAACUCACUCACCCACACUCUUUUUGAACCACACAUUAUAUCUUCUUAAUUACAAUCACCUACACACACUCUUUUCUCUUCUGCAACAACGAGAGGAUAGUUCUACGCUAUUUAUAACCAAUUGCACUGAUGAUACUCCCAGCUUUUAAUUGACUUUGUCUAAGUCUUGCAUGCGUUUUUCUUCAUUUCUUUUUAUUUUUUCUGUUAAUAUAUAAUAUGAUUGUAAUAUAUUUUUAUUUAAUUCAGUCAACUGAAAAUAUUUCCUCUCCGUCCAUAAAUAUCUGCACAGCCUGGAUUCUGACGGAAUCUUGGGCAACGCGGGUACCCAAACUUCACUAGACAAGCUUAUGGGCUAGCUCAAAACUUGGAUUUUUAUGAAGAAUAUUAUAAAAUAUCUAUUAUUUUGUUCAUUUGGUCCACUUAUUAUCUAUUUUUAAAAUUUUAAACAUUUAAAACUCAUAUUUUUAAUUCCAAUUUCAUUAAAAUAAAAUUUGAAAAUAUAAAAUUAUAAAAUAAAUUAAAUAUAUAUAAUAUUAUAAAAUAUAAAUUCUAGGUUUUUUAAGUUUUGAUUAAAAAAGUCCGAGUGUUCAAAAAAACAUGCUUAGGCCAGAUCUGGGUAAUACCAUACCUAAGAACGGUCGGAGUUUUUUUCCAUCCCUACCAUCCUUACACACUAAUAAUUGGCUGAAUUUAAUCAAACUCUCGAUUUGCUUUCACAUUAUCUUGGGUUUGAAACUUCACAGGUACCUAUAUAUCCCUUGAAUGAGAGUAGAUUUUCACCUAAAUUUGAAUGCAAACAUGUGCGACACGUCCUGGUCUAGGGAGAAUGAAUAGGAUGUCUUCAUAGGGCCAUAACUUGAGUAAUUGGUAUUUGUCUUAGGCUCAUAAUAUAUCAUUAUGAAGUUCUCAAGGAAAAGUCACAUUUUCAAUGUGGAUUAGCAAAUCUUCGCCAAAUUUCUCUUGGACGCUUCUAUUUUUGUCUGAAGAUAUCUUUCUUAUUUUUUAGAUUCUUGUUGGAUUUUUAUCUAUUUUGGUCGAUAUUUGAUUUAAGCGUCAUUUUUUUAAUUUGUUUUGGCAAGUAAAAUUUUUAUUAUGACAUACCAAUUCAAAUUUAUUUAUUUUGAUAAAUUCAUGUAUUUUUAGGGUUUAGUAUAAAAGGCUGUUAAAAUCCUAGUUUUUAUUUGUACUCGUAAAACAUAUUUUUAGAUUAGGAGACCUGUGAUCACUACUCAAAUACUAAAAAACCCUAUAACUAAUUAAAUAAUAAGAAUACGGAAGUUAAAAAAAAAAGAUUUCUAAACCUGUCCUAGAUCACACGACCAGUGACUACAUAUGAUGUUAAGCCAAAAAAUUAAAAAUAAAUGCUAAUCAUACGGAACCUCUAGAUUUUACCGGUCACUUUGGAUGAGUUCUUGAAUAUUAAUCAACGAAUUUCUCUUCUCUAUUUAUUUAUUUCAAUAUAUUCCACACAUCACCCUGAUUACAAUUUUAUUUUAUUUUUAUUUUUUUCUUCCAAUUCAGUCAACAAGAAAAUAACGUGUAAUUUAACAAACCCUUUAUCAAGUCUCGGUCUUAUGAUGUUCCCUGUAAUAGCGAUUGUAUUUGUCAUAUCAACAUCAUUCGUUGUCACGAAGAAGAUGAAGAGUCUUCUUUCUUUCUUCGAAGUUCAUGAAAGGAAAUCAUAUUUUACACGUUAGUUGACUUUGAAUUGACCCCAAAUCGCGAAACAUUGGCCCUCAAUCCUCUCUCUUUCUCUCUAAUUAUUUAAUUCAGUCAACUGAAAAUAUUUCCACUCCGUCCAUAUGGGAUGUCAUAAACAUCUGCACAGCCUGGAUUCUGAUGAAACCUUGGGCAACGCGGGUACCCAGACUUCACUAGAUAAGCUUAUGGGCUAGCUCAAAACUUGGAUUUUUAUGAAGAAUAUUAUAAAAUAUCUAGUAUUCUGUUCAUUUGCUCCACUUAUUAUAUAUGUUUAAUAUUUAUCAAGUCUCGGUCUUAUGCUGUUCCCUGUAAUAACGCUUGUAUUUGUCAUAUCAACAUCAUUUGUUGUCGCGAAGAAGGUGAAGGGUCUUCUUUCUUUCUUGGAAGUUCAUGAAUUUUAUUUUAUAUUUAACUUUAAAAAACUAUUUAUAUUUAAGCAUAAAUUUUAUUUUUUUAACUUAAAAAAAUUGGGGAUAAUGAUUUGAUUAUAAUCUUUAGAAUUAGAUAGAACCUCCCUCAAGUCUCGGGUCCAAAAACUUAUUCUUGCAAUAACGUUAUGUAUUCGUCACGUUAACAUAAUUUUUCCAUGACUGUAGUCACAAUUCGGAAAGAGACGAGAGGCACUCUCUUUCAUGGAAAAUCAUGAACGCAUGAAAGCAAAUCAAACUGUUUUAGGGUGCGUGGAAUUUAGGCAUGCAAUGUCCGCUCAAGUUUUGAUAAUUAUACUCUUGAGUCAAGAAAUGACCCCUUUUCUUUCUUAUUUAUAUGACUAGUUAAAUAAAUUAUUUUACAAAAAAAAAACAACAGUGAAAAUUGAAAGCAAGAAAAAUUUAAGUAAACGACAAACUUAACUGAAAUGCCAGUAAUCAAAUGCAAAGAAGGCCUGCUUAGUCUUUGAUUAAAUUUAUAAUGAUUAUUAUUCCAUGUGCUUUUCAAGAGCUAUUGGAUCAAUUCAAAGUUACGGAAAAGGGAAUAUUGCUUUCAAUGAUCAGCCUAACAUAUUUUGCUUUCAACCUAAUAUAAUAUGUUAAGAGAACUCCUCUCGAGAGUAGAGCAAUGUUAUGAAUUCUAAUAGUUAAGUUCUAAUCGACGUCUGUCAAGAAUCUAUUAUAUAUUGAAUUUCAUGACUAGAAAAAUUCAUAUUCUAUUGCUCAAUAGAUGAUUUCUACACUAAUUGGGACCAAAUUAAGAGUUGAUCUUGAGGAUCCUAAACACUACUGUGUAAAGUAAUAUAUUGGGCAUUAGUAAGUCAGUUGGAGCGAGCGAAAAAUUCAACCCAUUUACAAACCAUCGGAUUUCUUUUCACAACACAAGCAUUCUUUGUGACAAAAUAUAGGAAGGAAACAGUAAACACUGCACUUUCAUAUGUCCUUUAUUAAUCAAACUACAAGAUUAUAUAUAGGCUUGAAGCUAACAUAGACUAGGAGUCUUAUCUUAGCAAAGUCCUUUAUUCUAGGGAUAAAAACAAAAAAUAAGUAGAUAGAACAUAUCAUGUAAAACAACCACCAGAUAAGGAUAACUCUAUUUUUUCAAAUUCUGCCACACUAUUAUUUGUGACCCUCUCCUCAUCAACUUCCUAUGUUGACAUGAUAAAUCAGGUAACUUAAAAAAGCAGCAAAUUGAUGUCAAAAAAAUCAUAAGAUAACAAUUAAUACAUAAUCACAUUCCAAAAAUAUGGACAAGACAGAUUUUUUCUGAAAAAAGGAUUUACGAAGUUUAAAUAUACGGAGUCUUAUCUAACAGUGACAUUACACAGAACUUUUCUUUAGAUAUUGACAAUUACAUUGAGGAUGAUUACUAUACUAAUUGGGACCAAAUUAAGAGUUGAUUGUUAGGAUCCCAAAUACUACUGUGCAAAGUAAUAUAUUGGGCAUAAGCAAGUCAUUGAAGCGAGCGAAAAAUUCAACCCAUUUACAAACCAUCAAAUUUCUUUUCACAACACAAGCAUUUUUGUCAUCGGCAAUUCAAACAACCAUUCCGUCCCUUUCUCUGCUCAAUACCUUCCUUAAAUUGUUCAUAAUCUUAACCUUUAAUUGAAAGUUGUUUCUUCUUAAUUGUUCAUAGCCUUAACCUCUAUUUAAGCACAUGUUUCUUAGUAAUUUCUUAUUUUAACGUGCUUUCAUCUUUUGAUAACCAGUUAGGGCAAUUUAAUAAUACUAUAACUUUCGAAAAUAACUAAGGUUAGUUGUGAUGUAAAAACAAUUAGUCAUGUGAAGAUAAAUUGUUAAGUUUUUAUUUAUUUUUUUUAUGCAAUACUAGAUAUUCCAACAUCUAAGUCCCAAUUUAGUCCCAACAAAUAUAACAUUUAUCAAGUGGUUAAAUAAUUUUACAAACUAUGAAAUCUAUUAUUUAAUAAAUGAGUGAUACAUACUAUUAAAAUUCAAAUAUUAAGAUUUCUAACAUCAUUAUUAGUAAAUCUUCUUCUCUGAAUUAAUUUUGGAAAACUAUUCCAUUUUUCUUUUUCAAAAGACGCAGUGGAGCAAUACAUUUUAUUAAUUUAAAGUAAUUUUGUUACAAAAAUACCAUAAAAGACCUAGAGAAAUAAUCCAUUAUUAGCAUUUUAUUCCUUCUCCAAAUAAGAUCUGUUUGGUAGUGAAGUGCUGUGACUUUUUGAGGUGUUGUGGUUUUUAACACGAAACGCAGAUUCUUUGUGUCGUUUUGAUGGAUUUGUUUGACCUCCAAAACGCGAAUUACAUCCGUCGUUUCAACACCAUUUGAUUUCGCUUCCCUGGUUACUCAACAUUUAGUCAAACGAGAGUGAAUUGUUACAAAUUGCUAAAAAUACUAAUAAAACUUAAUGUAAUAAUAAUAAUUACAAUAGCACAAAUGAAAACAAUAAAAUUAAUAAGUUUUAAUGAUGAUGAUGAAAUUAAUGACAAUAACAAUAAUUAAGAUUCGAAUUUGGAAUUUUUCCGAAUUCUCUGUCAUGUAGCGGUUUGAAUUAAUUGCAACCACUCUUUUGUACUUGUCAAUGGUCUUUUGGCCCAUUGUCACACCCCACACUCUCAAACUAGCGUGUAUGAGUUCUGAGUCCUAACUAUUGAAAUGACUUAAUUCUCGUUCCAGUUAAAUUGGAUAGAAGUAAACAUGUCUAGUUAAGAUUCUCGUUAGAUUGUUAUCUAUUUUUGUCAAUAUUUGAUUUAAGUGUCAUUUUUUUAAUUUGUUUAGGCAGGUAACACUUCUAUUAUUCCAUAAACAUUUAAAUUAAUUUACUUAUUUUGAUAAAUUCAUGUAUUUUUAGGGUUUAGUAUAAAAGGCUGUUAAAAUCCUAGUUUGUUAUUUGUACUCGUAAAAACAUAUUUUUAGAUUAGGAGCCAUGUGAUCAAUACUCAAAUACUGAAGAACCCUAUAACUAAUUAAAUAAUAAUAAGAAUACGGAAGUUAAAAUAAAAGGAAUUCUUAACCUGUCCUACAUCACACGAUAAGUGACUACAUAUGAUGUUAGCCAAAAAAUUAAAAAUAAAUGCUAAUCACACUGAACCUCUAGACUUGGACGAUCACUUUGGAUGAGUUCUUGAGUAUUGAUCAACGAAUUAAAACUCAUGGACAACGAAAAAAUUUCAUAAGACAAAGAAAGAACACGUUGCUUUUAACAAUCUUUCGCAACCAGAGACAUUGAUAAGGUGGAAUAUACAAUAUUGGUGCAUUAAAUUACUAAUAGCACUCAACUACUAACCUUUUUACAACGACACGGUAAAAGACCACCGCAAAGGUUAUAUUUUCCGGCGUUUGUUUUACUAUGGGACAAUUCGUACUCUAGAAAAUAAUCAGAAUCUAAUAAAAUUUAUUUUACGCUGAUAAAUUAUUCGUUAUGCAAUUUACCGUUAUAAACAAGUAGACUUAAUAGAUUUAAUAUCUUUUUACGUAUGUUCUUUGCUCAAAAAAGAAAAUCUGAUUCUAUCUCCCUUAUUUUUUUUCUUUUUAUUUUUUCUAAAAUUUUCUCCUCCUCGACUUCACAGGUAAAUAUUUAUGCUAACAAACUGUUAAUUAAAAAAAAAAAGACAAACAAAUAGAUAAUUGGGUUGCUGUUUAUCUUAAAAGGACAAAUGUCAAGAAUGUCCAAAGUAUUAUUUAUAUUUAAGCAUAAAUUUUAUUUUAUUUAAUUUUAAAAAAUUGGGGAUAAUGAUUUGGUUACAAUCUUUAGAAUUAGACAGAACCUCCCUCAAGUCUCGGCUCCCAAAACUUAUUCUUGUAUGUAAUAACGUUAUGUAUUUGUCACGUUAACAUAAUUUUUCCAUAAAUGCAGUCACUGUCCGGAAAAAGACGAGAGGCACUCUCUUUCAUUGAAAAUCAUGAACGCGUGAAAGCAAAUCAAACCGUUUUAGGGUGCGUGGAAGUUAGGCAUGCAAUGUCCGCUCAAGUUUAAUAUUUGUAAUUGACUUUGAGUCAACAAAUGCCCCCUUUUCUCUCUUAUUUCUAUGAUUAGUUAAAUAAAUUAUUUUAUAUAAAAAAAAACAAACAAGCAUUCAUAAAGUAAUAUAUUGGGACCAAAUUAAGAGUUGAUUGUUAGGAAUUAGGAUCCCAAAUACUACUGUGCAAAGUAAUAUAUUGGGCAUAAGCAAGUCAUUGAAGCGAGCGAAAAAUUCAACCCAUUUACAAACCAUCAAAUUUCUUUUCACAACACAAGCAUUUUUGUCAUCGGCAAUUCAAACAACCAUUCCGUCCCUUUCUCUGCUCAAUACCUUCCUUAAAUUGUUCAUAAUCUUAACCUUUGAUUUAAGUUGUUUCUUCUUAAUUGUUCGUAGCCUUAACAUUUGUUUAAGCACAUGUUUCCUAGUAAUUUCUUAUUUUAACAUGCUUUCAUCUUUUGAUAAACCUGCUGUACCGUACAUCCGCCUUGGCCGUACAGCAGCUUUUGAAGACAGGACAUACAAAAUAAUUAGAUNNNNNNNNNNNNNNNNNNNNNNNNNNNNNNNNNNNNNNNNNNNNNNNNNNNNNNNNNNNNNNNNNNNNNNNNNNNNNNNNNNNNNNNNNNNNNNNNNNNNNNNNNNNNNNNNNNNNNNNNNNNNNNNNNNNNNNNNNNNNNNNNNNCGUGUGUAGCGGUUUGAAUUAAUUGUGCAAACUAUUUUUCAACCAAAGAACAAAAAAGGGACCUCGAUUUGGUUGCAAUAACGUGUGUAGCGGUUUGAAUUAAUUGUGCAAACUAUUUUUCAACCAAAGAACAAAAAAGGGACCUCGAUUUGGUUGCAAUAACGUGUGUAGCGGUUUGAAUUAAUUGUGCAAACUAUUUUUCAACCAAAGAACAAAAAAGGGACCUCGAUUUGGUUGCAAUAACGUGUGUAGCGGUUUGAAUUAAUUGUGCAAACUAUUUUUCAACCAAAGAACAAAAAAGGGACCUCGAUUUGGUUGCAAUAGCGUGUGUAGCGGUUUGAAUUAAUUGUGCAAACUAUUUUUCAACCAAAGAACAAAAAAGGGACCUCGAUUUGGUUGCAAUAACGUGUGUAGCGGUUUGAAUUAAUUGUGCAAACUACUUUUCAAUGAAAUAAAAAAAAAAAAUGGGCCCUCAAUUUGGUUGCAAUACCGUGUGUAGCGGUUUGAAUUAAUUGCAACCACUCUUUUGUACUUGUCAAUGGUCUCUUGGCCCAUUGUCACGCCCCACACUCUCAAACUAGCGUGUAUGAGUUCUGAGUCCUGACUAUUGAAAGGGACUUAAUUCUCAUUCCAAUUAAAUUGGAUUGAAGUAAAAAUGUCUCUUCAUUAAUAGAGGAAAAGAAUAUAUAUCUUUCUUUGAUAUUAUAUGAGAAUAGGAAUUUGGGCUGUACUAGUUUAGAAUUAUUAAAGAUAGUCAGAUAAAAUUCUAAUUGUAAAUAUUAAUAGAAUCAUGAUUGUAAUAUAUCAAUGUAACAACAAAAAAAAAACUCAUAGUCCUUAUGAUUACCUGUUUCCAUAAGCCACUAAUAUCUCACCGUUGCUUUCAUUUACAAAUAAUCUAACGGCCGUUUAAGAUACAAAGUUUGUAGCCCUCAUUCUCUAUUUCUUACUUUUGUUGUUUUUCCUUUUUGAAAAAAAAAUUAAAAUUAUGUUAUAACCAUUUCGUAAAUUAUUGUUUUAUUUUUCAAAAUUACAUUGCAAUCUAUUUAUAAAAUCAGGUAUCACCCUACUUUUAGUUUUAAUGCAAGUUUUCUUUAUUAUUAAAAAAGAUACAGCAUAAAAUUAGUUCUAAGCUUUUCGUCAAAGGUAUUCUCUCUCUGUGAGUGUUUCUAUUAUGUCAUCUUUCUUCUUUAUUUUGCAAACAAAAUAUUAUGUAAUGCAUCAUGUUAAAGGAACUGAUUCUGUGGAAUAUAAACUUUGAUUAGGGAAGUUUAAAACCCGAUUUUAUAUGUUCAAAUUGAUCAGUCGAAUCCAAAUGGGGGGAUCUGAUAUUUUGGGUUGUGGUGGAACUGACGGAGCCACAUAUUUGGAUACUGACCUAGAGAUUUCUUUGAAUAAUUUUAUAGUGUUGCUCAAGUGAUAUUGCGUGAGGCUUGCGGGUGAAUCAAACACAUCAGCUCUAAACGGCAGCGUUUUGGCAUUAUAAGAUAAGAGCACUUAAAAGUCACGGGCUGAAGCACGUGUGUAAUCACUUGUUUCUUAAGAUUGAAACGGCAGUUCUUCUUUGUCGUUUAAGGGAAAGCUUUAAGUGAUGCACGUGAUAGCCGUGUGAGAAAACUUGAUUCAGUUUGUUAAGUUCGUUACUCAACGUGUCAACAAGCUGUGCAAUCUGGAUUUAGCUGAUUCGUUGCUCUUGUAGUUCAGUUUGUGAGCUGAGCGUGUGUGUAACCGUGUUAAGAGAGAGAGAUAUCAGAGAAUGUGAAAGAUGAGUUCUCUGUAAUCUUAAGUAAAAGCCCUGUAAAAGAUCCUCCAUUGUUAUUCAAUAAAAGCUCUCCAGAAAGCAUCUCCCGUGGAUGUAGGUUGUGCCUCCUUGGUGCAACCGAACCAUGUAAUUGAUUCUGGUGUUGUCAGUGUUUGUUUAUAUUAUUUUCAGUUCUCUUAAUUCUUGUGUUAAAUUGAUUCUUUCUGGAUUAGUUCUUCAAUCUGUGCAACUUGGUAAAUCUGUAUCUAAGAUCCUGGGAAGUGAUUGUGUCUUGCAUCGUUAAGAGCAGAUUCAUUCACUACAUAUUGUUUCAUUUUUUCCAAAAUCAAAACCACGUUGAUUUGAUUUUGAACUUUUUCUGGUGAAUAGUUUCUUCACCUUGCAGCCUUAUCAGGUCGUUUAUUAUUUCAUUCUUCACCGCAUAGUGAGACCAUCCAGUGAUUUAAUCAUGCAGCUAGUGAAUGUGAGCUUCUGUAGAUGCAUCAGUAGGUUUUUGCUUGUAUUUAGGCCCUCUACUCUCAUAGGGAAAGGCAAUUGCAUUGUACACACUAAUUUGGUUGCUCGGAAUUGAUGUUUUUCUUCAUUAUCUAGAUCCAUCUGUUUGCCCUGUUUCGGACUAUAAGUUAGAUAUUAAAAAAUAACAGAGUCCUACAAUAAAAUAGUCUAUUACAAAUAUACAUCAUGAAGAGAAAGGCAAAGUAAAAAUUAAAAAGAAAAAAUACAUAUAGAAACUACUUUGAGAAAUACCUCCAUGAAAAUCCUAUUGUGGAUGACACUUGCAUCUCAUGAACCCCCAUUUAAACAGCUCUGAAAUGCAAAUGUCAAGUGAAAAUGAACAAAAUUAUUACAAAUAAGCAGUCCAUAAGACGAGAAUAAAACAAUAUAUUCUGAAAAAAAAUUAUAUAAUAUCAUGAAUGAAGAAAUUAUAAAGACAAAGUGUGUCUUUUUUCGUUACAUAGCAUUUUGCAGUAAAUCUAACAAUGAAAAGGCUUCUCUAAUACUCUUCAUUUCUCUCUACACAAAUUCUUUAUAUUCGCUCUCCUUCAUCCUUAAUUUCUUGGUUCAUGAACAACAAAAAACAGUUAUAAUACCACCCCAAAUGAUCAAAUUAAACAAAAACUAAGAAGAGUUUACAAGCUUUCCAAAUAUGAUUCUUUCUUUAUAAAUGCAGAAACAAUUAUAAUACCACAUUAAUUAACCAAAUCAUCAAAACAAAGACCAACAAGAGUUUGCAUUCGAAAGAUGAUAUCUUUCUUUAUCAACUUGAAACAGUUGUAAUACCACAUUAACAAAAUAUCUAAAUCGUCUGCUGUACGGCCUUAAUUCAAUUAUUUUCGACAUAAAAAAAUUUACUUACCCUGAUUAACUACUGUUCCCUUAAAAUUAGUAAACAAAAGGUAAAGCGUUUUGAGGGAUGGUAGUGAUCCUAUUGAUUGCAACACCUUGCUUCCAUCUAUCAUUGGAAUUCCGCUUCCCCCUAAACGAAGGGUAUUCAACUUCCUCAAACCUCUGAAAUCUGUUUGGGAUACAAUUUCGGAUUAAAUUAUUUUGGGUAAGUGUCAUUUGGGCAUUCCCUAAUCAAAUCUAUUAAAUUGUACUCCAAAUUAUUAAUAUUUGAACAUUUUGUAUAUCUUUAGGAACCACAAGAUUGUCGAUUGCAUUGGCGCUCAUGUCUAGCUCCUCCAAGUUGCUCAAGAAAUCCAGUCCUGUAUUUAUGCCAACACUUCUACCAGGGUUAAUUAAAUAACUUAUUUUCUCCUUCUUUAUUUUUAAAUCUCGGCGCAAAAUAAUUUAAUUAAUAAGCAAAAAAUACAGCUAACCAGAAAAACCUAAAAAACAGUUGCCAAGGGCCUGAUUGAGUGGUUUUAAGUAGGUAUAUUUGGCUGACAACGGCGAAUUUAAAUUUGUAAGGAA
This 13470-nucleotide long non-coding RNA is filed under the name Citrus sinensis (sweet orange). RNAcentral's name for it is "long non-coding RNA (CSIN_LNC003623)". The record is from RNAcentral. Lineage: Eukaryota; Viridiplantae; Streptophyta; Magnoliopsida; Sapindales; Rutaceae.